Molecule: ribosomal RNA, 1448 nt
Filed under: Kocuria rosea
Lineage: Bacteria; Bacillati; Actinomycetota; Actinomycetes; Micrococcales; Micrococcaceae
Description: bacterial SSU rRNA
Rfam family: Bacterial small subunit ribosomal RNA
Source: RNAcentral
GACGAACGCUGGCGGCGUGCUUAACACAUGCAAGUCGAACGAUGAUGCCCAGCUUGCUGGGCGGAUUAGUGGCGAACGGGUGAGUAAUACGUGAGUAACCUGCCCUUGACUCUGGGAUAAGCCUGGGAAACUGGGUCUAAUACUGGAUACUACCUCUUGCCGCAUGGUGGGUGGUGGAAAGGGUUUUACUGGUUUUGGAUGGGCUCACGGCCUAUCAGCUUGUUGGUGGGGUAAUGGCUCACCAAGGCGACGACGGGUAGCCGGCCUGAGAGGGUGACCGGCCACACUGGGACUGAGACACGGCCCAGACUCCUACGGGAGGCAGCAGUGGGGAAUAUUGCACAAUGGGCGGAAGCCUGAUGCAGCGACGCCGCGUGAGGGAUGACGGCCUUCGGGUUGUAAACCUCUUUCAGUAGGGAAGAAGCGAGAGUGACGGUACCUGCAGGAGAAGCGCCGGCUAACUACGUGCCAGCAGCCGCGGUAAUACGUAGGGCGCAAGCGUUGUCCGGAAUUAUUGGGCGUAAAGAGCUCGUAGGCGGUUUGUCGCGUCUGCUGUGAAAGCCCGGGGCUCAACCCCGGGUCUGCAGUGGGUACGGGCAGACUAGAGUGCAGUAGGGGAGACUGGAAUUCCUGGUGUAGCGGUGAAAUGCGCAGAUAUCAGGAGGAACACCGAUGGCGAAGGCAGGUCUCUGGGCUGUUACUGACGCUGAGGAGCGAAAGCAUGGGGAGCGAACAGGAUUAGAUACCCUGGUAGUCCAUGCCGUAAACGUUGGGCACUAGGUGUGGGGGACAUUCCACGUUUCCCGCGCCGUAGCUAACGCAUUAAGUGCCCCGCCUGGGGAGUACGGCCGCAAGGCUAAAACUCAAAGGAAUUGACGGGGGCCCGCACAAGCGGCGGAGCAUGCGGAUUAAUUCGAUGCAACGCGAAGAACCUUACCAAGGCUUGACAUUCACCGGACCGCCCCAGAGAUGGGGUUUCCCUUCGGGGCUGGUGGACAGGUGGUGCAUGGUUGUCGUCAGCUCGUGUCGUGAGAUGUUGGGUUAAGUCCCGCAACGAGCGCAACCCUCGUUCUAUGUUGCCAGCACGUGAUGGUGGGGACUCAUAGGAGACUGCCGGGGUCAACUCGGAGGAAGGUGGGGAUGACGUCAAAUCAUCAUGCCCCUUAUGUCUUGGGCUUCACGCAUGCUACAAUGGCCGGUACAAAGGGUUGCGAUACUGUGAGGUGGAGCUAAUCCCAAAAAGCCGGUCUCAGUUCGGAUUGAGGUCUGCAACUCGACCUCAUGAAGUCGGAGUCGCUAGUAAUCGCAGAUCAGCAACGCUGCGGUGAAUGCGUUCCCGGGCCUUGUACACACCGCCCGUCAAGUCACGAAAGUUGGUAACACCCGAAGCCGGUGGCCUAACCCCUUGUGGGAGGGAGCCGUCGAAGGUGGGACUGGCGAUUGGGACU